Caenorhabditis elegans is the source of this 21-nucleotide non-coding RNA. The record is from Ensembl. Lineage: Eukaryota; Metazoa; Nematoda; Chromadorea; Rhabditida; Rhabditidae.
UGCUGUCAUGUUUCACUGGGU